UGGGGAAUUUUGCACAAUGGGGGCAACCCUGAUGCAGCGACGCCGCGUGAUUUAGAAGGCCUUCGGGUUGUAAAAAUCUUUUGUAUGGGAAGAAAAUGACAGUACCAUACGAAUAAGGACCGGCUAAUUACGUGCCAGCAGCCGCGGUAAUACGUAAGGUCCGAGCGUUGUCCGGAAUCAUUGGGCGUAAAGGGUACGUAGGCGGAUAAGCAAGUUAGAAGUGAAAUCCUAUAGCUCAACUAUAGUAAGCUUUUAAAACUGCUCAUCUUGAGGUAUGGAAGGGAAAGUGGAAUUCCUAGUGUAGCGGUGAAAUGCGCAGAUAUUAGGAGGAAUACCGGUGGCGAAGGCGACUUUCUGGCCAUAAACUGCCGCUGAGGUACGAAAGCGUGGGUAGCAAACAGG
Molecule: ribosomal RNA, 402 nt
Filed under: Actinomycetes bacterium
Lineage: Bacteria; Bacillati; Actinomycetota; Actinomycetes
Description: Actinobacteria bacterium partial 16S ribosomal RNA
Rfam family: Bacterial small subunit ribosomal RNA
Source: RNAcentral